GGAAGUAAAAGUCGUAACAAGGUCUCCGUUGGUGAACCAGCGGAGGGAUCAUUACCGAGUUUACAACUCCCAAACCCAAUGUGAACGUUACCAAACUGUUGCCUCGGCGGGGUCACGCCCCGGGUGCGUAAAAGCCCCGGAACCAGGCGCCCGCCGGAGGAACCAACCAAACUCUUUCUGUAGUCCCCUCGCGGACGUAUUUCUUACAGCUCUGAGCAAAAAUUCAAAAUGAAUCAAAACUUUCAACAACGGAUCUCUUGGUUCUGGCAUCGAUGAAGAACGCAGCGAAAUGCGAUAAGUAAUGUGAAUUGCAGAAUUCAGUGAAUCAUCGAAUCUUUGAACGCACAUUGCGCCCGCCAGUAUUCUGGCGGGCAUGCCUGUCCGAGCGUCAUUUCAACCCUCGAACCCCUCCGGGGGAUCGGCGUUGGGGAUCGGGACCCCUCACCGGGUGCCGGCCCUGAAAUACAGUGGCGGUCUCGCCGCAGCCUCUCCUGCGCAGUAGUUUGCACAACUCGCACCGGGAGCGCGGCGCGUCCACGUCCGUAAAACACCCAACUUCUGAAAUGUUGACCUCGGAUCAGGUAGGAAUACCCGCUGAACUUAAGCAUAUCAAUAAGCGGAGG
This 623-nucleotide ribosomal RNA is filed under the name Trichoderma hamatum. RNAcentral describes it as "eukaryotic LSU rRNA". The stretch from base 238 to 391 matches the Rfam family "5.8S ribosomal RNA". The record is from RNAcentral. Lineage: Eukaryota; Fungi; Ascomycota; Sordariomycetes; Hypocreales; Hypocreaceae.